AGUGGCGAACGGGUGCGUAACACGUGAGCAACCUGCCCUGCGGCGGGGGAUAGCCGGCCUAACGGCCGGGUAAUACCGCGUACGACCCAGUGCCCGCAUGAGCGCUGGGUGAAAGCGGCCGCAAGGUCGCACCGCAGGAGGGGCUCGCGGCCUAUCAGCUUGUUGGUGAGGUAACGGCUCACCAAGGCCACGACGGGUAGCUGGUCUGAGAGGAUGGCCAGCCACAUUGGGACUGAGAUACGGCCCAGACUCCUACGGGAGGCAGCAGUGGGGAAUAUUGCGCAAUGGCCGCAAGGCUGACGCAGCGACGCCGCGUGUGGGAUGAAGGCUUUCGGGUCGUAAACCACUGUCAGAGGGGACGAAUACCUGGCCUCGAAUAGGGGACCAGGGGUGACGGUACCCUCAGAGGAAGCACCGGCUAACUCCGUGCCAGCAGCCGCGGUAAUACGGAGGGUGCUAGCGUUGUCCGGAAUCACUGGGCGUAGAGCGCGCGUAGGCGGCUACUCAAGUCAUUUGUGAAAUCCCGGGGCUCAACUCCGGGGCUGCAAGUGAAACUGGGUGGCUAGAGCACGGUAGAGGCGAGUGGAAUUCCCGGUGUAGCGGUGGAAUGCGUAGAUAUCGGGAGGAACACCAGUGGCGAAGGCGGCUCGCUGGGCCGUAGCUGACGCUGAGGCGCGAAAGCGUGGGGAGCAAACAGGAUUAGAUACCCUGGUAG
Molecule: ribosomal RNA, 715 nt
Filed under: uncultured bacterium
Lineage: Bacteria
Description: bacterial SSU rRNA
Rfam family: Bacterial small subunit ribosomal RNA
Source: RNAcentral